GCCGAAGUAGACAACCGGAUACGUCAGCGGUCUUGAAAACCGUCAAGUCCUUAAUCGGGCUCAGGGGUUCGACUCCCUUCUUCGGCG
This 87-nucleotide transfer RNA is filed under the name Caudoviricetes sp. RNAcentral describes it as "tRNA-Ser". It matches the Rfam family "tRNA". From Rfam's summary of the family: Transfer RNA (tRNA) molecules are approximately 80 nucleotides in length. The record is from RNAcentral. Lineage: Duplodnaviria; Heunggongvirae; Uroviricota; Caudoviricetes.